AAGUCGUAACAAGGUCUCCGUAGGUGAACCUGCGGAGGGAUCAUUAAUUGUGACCCCGGCCCUCGGGCCGGGAUGAUCAAAACCCUUUGUCGUCCAACCAUGUUGCCUCCGGGGCGACCCCGCCUUCAGGUCGGGUCCCCCGGGUGGACACCUUCAAACUCUUGCGUAACUUUGCAGUCUGAGUAAAUUUAAUUAAUAAGUUAAAACUUUCAACAACGGAUCUCUUGGUUCUG
Molecule: unclassified non-coding RNA, 233 nt
Filed under: air metagenome
Description: partial contains small subunit ribosomal RNA, internal transcribed spacer 1, and 5.8S ribosomal RNA
Rfam family: Eukaryotic small subunit ribosomal RNA (bases 1-46)
Source: RNAcentral